Molecule: ribosomal RNA, 379 nt
Filed under: uncultured Thiobacillus sp.
Lineage: Bacteria; Pseudomonadati; Pseudomonadota; Betaproteobacteria; Nitrosomonadales; Thiobacillaceae
Description: bacterial SSU rRNA
Rfam family: Bacterial small subunit ribosomal RNA
Source: RNAcentral
UGCAGAGAUGCGGUAGUGCCCGAAAGGGAAUCGGAACACAGGUGCUGCAUGGCUGUCGUCAGCUCGUGUCGUGAGAUGUUGGGUUAAGUCCCGCAACGAGCGCAACCCUUAUCAUUAGUUGCUACGCAAGGGCACUCUAAUGAGACUGCCGGUGACAAACCGGAGGAAGGUGGGGAUGACGUCAAGUCCUCAUGGCCCUUAUGGGUAGGGCUUCGCACGUCAUACAAUGGUCGGUACAGAGGGUUGCCAAGCCGCGAGGUGGAGCCAAUCCCAGAAAGCCGAUCGUAGUCCGGAUUGUUCUCUGCAACUCGAGAGCAUGAAGUCGGAAUCGCUAGUAAUCGCGGAUCAGCAUGUCGCGGUGAAUACGUUCCCGGGUCUU